GUUUUUUUUGCAUAUCCAAAUAGCGGAGGAAAAGAAACCAACAGGGAUUGCCCUAGUAACGGCGAGUGAAGCGGCAACAGCUCAAAUUUGAAAUCUGGCCCUCGGGUCCGAGUUGUAAUUUGUAGAGGAUGCUUUUGGUGAGGUGCCUUCCGAGUUCCCUGGAACGGGACGCCAUAGAGGGUGAGAGCCCCGUCUGGUUGGACACCGAGCCUCUGUAAAGCUCCUUCGACGAGUCGAGUAGUUUGGGAAUGCUGCUCUAAAUGGGAGGUAUAUGUCUUCUAAAGCUAAAUACCGGCCAGAGACCGAUAGCGCACAAGUAGAGUGAUCGAAAGAUGAAAAGCACUUUGAAAAGAGAGUUAAAAAGUACGUGAAAUUGUUGAAAGGGAAGCGCUUAUGACCAGACUUGGGCUUGGUUGAUCAUCCUGGGUUCUCCCUGGUGCACUCUUCCAGUUCAGGCCAGCAUCAGUUCGCUGCGGGGGAUAAAAGCUUUAGGAAUGUGGCUCCCUCGGGAGUGUUAUAGCCUAUUGCAUAAUACCCUGCUCCGGACUGAGGUUCGCGCAUCUGCAAGGAUGCUGGCGUAAUGGUCAUCAGCGACCCGUCUUGAACCACGGACCAAACCAUUUU
RNAcentral lists this ribosomal RNA (624 nucleotides) under Calonectria pseudopteridis. Its description in RNAcentral is "partial large subunit ribosomal RNA". It matches the Rfam family "Eukaryotic large subunit ribosomal RNA", at positions 27 to 677 of the family's 3401-position model. Lineage: Eukaryota; Fungi; Ascomycota; Sordariomycetes; Hypocreales; Nectriaceae. The record is from RNAcentral.